AAAAAUAAAACAAAUUAUUAACGGUCGAUUCGAUAGACAUGAUGUAUCUUUCCAUUAAUCCCAACAUUUGCCAUCGGAGCUCAUCUUAUAGAAACAAUUAAUUUACAACAUUCUUAAGCCAUCUAUCUACGUGUCAACUUUUGACGGCGAUGCCACUCGUGAUCGGAUCUUUAUUAUAAUUAUUUUUUAUUUAGUUUGUUGUUGUAUGAUUAUAUAUAAACAAGAUUAAAUUUAACUACCUAGUGGCAUCUUUCUUUUCCCAAACUUUUUGUUGUUCUCUUUGCUUUAUAACCUAUUUAUUUCUUAUAAUAAUGCUCAAACUUUAGUUUUUCAUUUUGUUUUUAAUUGAUGCUCGCGUGUGCACUUAAGUAGUUUGGCCAAAGUAAUUAUGUAAUACUUAGAUGUAUAAAUUAGAUCGACUCGGAGUUGCACCCUUGAUCACUUAGUUUCGGGUAAUAAUAGGAUAUUGAUAAUUGAUAUUUUUAAUAUUUAAUGGUUAAGAUUUUUCAUUCUUAUUUUAACCAAAAAAGAAGGUUAAAUUUAGCACAAACUCGAUAUAAAUUUAAAUGAAUUACAUUAGACUCAUAUUUUAGGUACAAGGUUCCUCACGUCCGGGUGGGAUAACAUAAAACAUGAAGUAUUAAAAUCAUAAAAUAUUUUGAGAGAUAUACCAUUAAUGGUAAUUAAUAUAAGCAAAGCAAAGAAAAUGUAUUUAAAAAGAAUAUAUUGAGCGUGCUAGUUCAAGUUUCAUAUGGAACUCUUGUCUUUUCUCAUAAAAAAGUAGAAAAGGGAUGGAUUUUUCCUCAAAAUUUUAAAUGGAAAUAAAUUUUCAAAGUAGUCUCAAUAAAUUUUUGAAUUGUACUAUAAAUAUAUGUAUCUAAACCCGUAUAUUUAAAAUCAAUCAUGGCAGGAGUGCAAGAUAAUGUACGGAUGAAAUUUGCUUUGACAUGACCCAAUUCACUAAUUUAGUGUUAGAUACUAAAAUCUUUUGUGUACCAUUUAUUAGAAAAAUAGGGAGAUUGCCAAUUUUCCCCCACUAUAAUCAAUAUAUACCUUUUGUCCCAUGUUGUCUUUAUAAUAGUCAAUAAUUCCUAACAACAUAAGUUUAAAAUAUUAUCUUUAUUUUCAAAUACACUUAUAUUCAUAUUUAUUAUAAAUUAAAUAAAUCACAUGAAUGGAAAUUAAAAUAAAAAAUUAAGUAUAAAAAAUAAGAAAUAUAUGUUUUGAUGUGAUAUAUAUCACAAAACUAGUGGGGUUUAAUUGUGGUUCGCACACGGCAAAACCUACCACAAUUAGAUCAGCAUCAUCAUCAGUUCAUCAAAACCAAAAUUAAUUAGCGCAUCCACCUUUGAUUUCACCAUUAGAUUAAUACAAGCAAGCAUGCAUAGAGGCAUAAUUUUGUGCAAAUAUGUUUUACCCUAGUUAUAGCAUUUCCAAAUUCCAACAAAGGUUUGCACUUCUUAAUAUAUAGAGGCAUCAAAAGGUAUCCCACUCAAUAAUUAUUUUCCAAAUUCAACUGUGUAAACAUCAUAACACUUAACAAGUGUUACUCGUGGGGGACACUUCAUCAUUAUUAUUAUGCCAUGAAUGCAAUUUCCAAUCAAUUCCCAAAUUCUACGGGCGGGAGAGCUCUUCAAUUUGUAACCGUGAUAUAUAUAUAAUUUUUGCUUUUUCCAAGAUCAACAACAAAAAAAAAAAUCUUGAAAAAAGAAAUAGCUGAUGAACAUCCGAAAGCACUUUUCAAAAAUUGCAAUUCGUUUUCUCUGUUUAUGACUUGUACAAUUUCCCUAUCAUAUAAUGUCAUGUGUUGUCACAUGCAUAUUUGUCACUAAAUUUGAAAUAGUCAUAAAUACAUUAUAAUAAGAAGCGAUAUUUUAUUAUAAUAAUCAUACAUUUUACUUCUCAUAUGUUUAGUUCAAAAUAUCUAACUGUUACUUCUAUUACCAUUAAAUAUUGCCAUUUUCAAACAAGCUUUUUUUUUAAAAUUAAUCUCAUGAGUAAUGAUUGGGAUCGAUGUUUGCCACUCCUCAUCAGAAAGUAACUCAUUGCCUUAGGAAAAGAAAAAAAUAACAUUGAACGCUACAUAUGAUGAUCCAAAUGAAAAUUGAUGCCUAACCCCUAUAAUUUCUUCUUACAUACAUAAUUCUAUUGUCUGUCUAAUUUUUUAAAAGAUUUGAAUCAUAGACUCAUAGUUCUUGUUAGAAUCUUAAAAGAUAUACGAGAAAUCAUUUCAAUUAUUUGGAAAGAUAGUAUAUAGUUUAAGCCUCAUUAUUCAUUGACUCGCGUCCGUAAUGAGUAGCAAACCAUCAAAAGUGGGGAAAAUCACAUGAUUACCGGUGUAAUAAUUGUCGUUUAAAUUUAGUAUAUUAGCCAUUGGAAAUAAUUAAGCUUAGAUUUUUUAUUAUAAUUUUAAAAAAAUCAUCAUUAGUUAUGUUUGUUCGGAUAUGGAACAUGAGAAAAUUCUCUAACUAGAAAUUAAGUGAGUUUUAGUUAGAUGAUUGAAGAAGAAGGAAAAUAAUGUUCUCAUUAAGACAUGUGGGUUUGUGAUUAAUUUGCUCAAAUGAUUGGAUUUGGAGAGACAUUUAGUUUUUUUUUUUUAAUGUGAUAUUUAUUAACUAACACGCAACCUUUCGGGAUCAUUAUUGAACCGAUAUUAUGGAAAUUCGUUAGAUUGAAACUUAUUUAAUAGCAUUAAGCAAAAGAAAUUGUUUUUAUUAGAUUCCCGUUAAACAAAAAUAUUUCCCAUAACAUCAACAAUGUACAUAUAUAAUAAUGUGAACGACAAAAACUUUAACGUGAGUAACCAAAGAAACAUUAAUUAUUAUUUACUAAAUCACUUUCUUAAGGGGCCGCACGUGCAAGUGACCACAAUUAUUAGGGCUUCGUCAAUAAGUGUCUUGCAGGCAUUGGCUCACGUGUCCACAUGCGGCCACAUGAUUAUCUCUAAUCAUUUUGUUAUCCCAAGAUUGGUCGUCUACCUUCAAAACCAUUAAAUCCCAAAAAUAAAUAAAUAAAUGUUUCAAGUGUUAAUGGUUUAAAUCCCCAAUUGAUCAUUGUAAGAAUAUUAAAUCUAGUUUAGCUUUCCCCCCCUACCAAAUCUAAUAAAGCUUGAGUAAUCUGGUAAAUGUGUAAUUUCAAAAUAAUACAUCGAUAUGAAAUGUAGUGAUCAAUUACGCAUAUAUAUAUAUGUGUGUGUGUAUUGUUAUUUUGUGAAUCUAAAUCAUGCAAAUCUCUUUUAAUCUACGCAAGAAAAAUAGUAUUCAUGAACUUAAUUUUAUAUUAAAAUAUAAAUAUUAAUUGUGAUAAACUCAAUCAACUUUUUCAUAAGGUUGAGAGUUUGAAUCCUUCUGUGAAUGUAAGGAUGUGUUUAUCUUUUUUUUUUUCACAACAAAACUAAUUUGAUCAUGAUUUUUUUUUUUUUGUAUUACAUGAGAUAGUACGAUACAAAUAUACACGUAUAUAACCUAAUAUACUUAUUUGAACUUAAUGCUCACCUAUUGGGACUUACUACCUCGACGUAUUAAUAAAGAUGAAGUCCAACCUGAAGGUCUUAAAUCAAAUAAACAAGAAAAUAAUACGUGGCAAAACUCAACUAUUUAUUUGUGCAAGUUGCUCUUAUCUAAUUCAAAAAUAUCUAUCAAUGAUGGCAGAUUUGCAUUGCAUGGAGUCUGGGUGCCUCCGGUUGGUAGGCAAAAAGGAUAAUCUCCGAUAAUUGAAGACGUGUUGGCCCAACCGACUUUACCAGAAAAAAACUGCCAACCAACAAACCUAGCACUAGCAUCCACUAACUGUAUUAGAAAGAGAGAGAAUUAAUUUAAUUACUAAUUAUAAAAUUAAACUAUGAUUAGCACUACUUUCUAAGCAUGAAUUUAGGAAGGCUCCAUGUUUCAAGAUUAUGAUCAGAUCAAAACUCUCUUCUUUCGAUUCUUUCAUUUUGGUCUGUGCAUGCAUGCACGAAUAUUAUUUUUCUCAUAUUUAUUAUCAAUUAAAUAGAUUUUGAUGAUCGAUAGCUUGUAGUCAAAGGUACUGCAAUUGCUAGUUGAAGAAAAAGAAGGGCAUGCAGGCUCUUUCAAUUAGUCAAUCGAUUGCCGAAAGGAUGCCUGCUGCAUCAUGCAUGGGUCAAGUGGGAUAUUAUGCAUGUAUUGUUUGGUAAGGGCACAUGCAAAAACAUUAAAUUGGAAACAUAGAUAAUUGGAUGCCUGAAACAAAAGUGGGGACUUGCUGAUCUAAAAAUCUGCAACACUGAAAUGGAUAGAAAGAACUAACAUUGAUUCCGUUUGUCCUUUUAGUCCAUAUAAUUUGAGUUAAUUAUCAAGUUGAUGUUAUAUUUUUUUUAAACUAUCUAAAAUAUCUCCAUCGUAUAUUUAUUUAU
This 4372-nucleotide long non-coding RNA is filed under the name Citrus x clementina. Its description in RNAcentral is "Citrus clementina (C. clementina) long non-coding RNA (CCLE_LNC004356)". Lineage: Eukaryota; Viridiplantae; Streptophyta; Magnoliopsida; Sapindales; Rutaceae. The record is from RNAcentral.